This is a non-coding RNA of Mycena crocata, 94 nucleotides long. The record is from the annotation of a GenBank genome assembly. NCBI's taxonomy places the organism in Eukaryota, Fungi, Basidiomycota, Agaricomycetes, Agaricales, Mycenaceae.
GACCUGAUGGUGUAGUGGUUAGCACACCUGUUUUAAUUAAGGGCUAUGUUCGGGUAUUCAUCGGGAGGCCUUCGUUCGAUUCGAAGUCAGGUCA